Molecule: unclassified non-coding RNA, 478 nt
Filed under: Hevea brasiliensis (rubber tree)
Lineage: Eukaryota; Viridiplantae; Streptophyta; Magnoliopsida; Malpighiales; Euphorbiaceae
Source: RNAcentral
UUUUCAACUAAAACUUCCUAAUUAGUUUUCAAUCCUAAUUCCAAUUAAACUUAGACUCUAACAAAUAUGUUGGUGUUCUAAAUUCAAAUACUACAUUUGUUAUACCAUACAAAAUGACCAACAAGACAAUGUGUUGAAACACAUUGAAAAAGAAUAUUUAGUUUAUCGAAUAUGUUUCUCUCUGAUCUACCACAAAGUGAGUCUUAAUCUCUUGAAUGUGUACAAACUGAAACAAUAAAUUGUUCUAGAGCAUAGUCAACACUAGCUAAAGUAAAUACCAUAAAUGAUGGUUUAUCAAUAUGUAAUAAUUAACUCAAACAUAAUGAUUCUUGAACAUGGAUGCUUACAGAAAGCAAAGGCAAUAAAUUGGAAAGAAGAUGAAGAUAAAAAUUGUUUAUUAUAAUUUUGUAAUUUUAAUUUUGUUCCCCAUGCAACAACCCAAUAGUGGGUAUUCAGAGGCCCAACUUGGAGGUCUAAG